This 933-nucleotide ribosomal RNA is filed under the name Escherichia coli. Its description in RNAcentral is "partial 23S ribosomal RNA". It matches the Rfam family "Bacterial large subunit ribosomal RNA", at positions 418 to 1350 of the family's 2925-position model. Lineage: Bacteria; Pseudomonadati; Pseudomonadota; Gammaproteobacteria; Enterobacterales; Enterobacteriaceae. The record is from RNAcentral.
CGGGACACGUGGUAUCCUGUCUGAAUAUGGGGGGACCAUCCUCCAAGGCUAAAUACUCCUGACUGACCGAUAGUGAACCAGUACCGUGAGGGAAAGGCGAAAAGAACCCCGGCGAGGGGAGUGAAAAAGAACCUGAAACCGUGUACGUACAAGCAGUGGGAGCACGCUUAGGCGUGUGACUGCGUACCUUUUGUAUAAUGGGUCAGCGACUUAUAUUCUGUAGCAAGGUUAACCGAAUAGGGGAGCCGAAGGGAAACCGAGUCUUAACUGGGCGUUAAGUUGCAGGGUAUAGACCCGAAACCCGGUGAUCUAGCCAUGGGCAGGUUGAAGGUUGGGUAACACUAACUGGAGGACCGAACCGACUAAUGUUGAAAAAUUAGCGGAUGACUUGUGGCUGGGGGUGAAAGGCCAAUCAAACCGGGAGAUAGCUGGUUCUCCCCGAAAGCUAUUUAGGUAGCGCCUCGUGAAUUCAUCUCCGGGGGUAGAGCACUGUUUCGGCAAGGGGGUCAUCCCGACUUACCAACCCGAUGCAAACUGCGAAUACCGGAGAAUGUUAUCACGGGAGACACACGGCGGGUGCUAACGUCCGUCGUGAAGAGGGAAACAACCCAGACCGCCAGCUAAGGUCCCAAAGUCAUGGUUAAGUGGGAAACGAUGUGGGAAGGCCCAGACAGCCAGGAUGUUGGCUUAGAAGCAGCCAUCAUUUAAAGAAAGCGUAAUAGCUCACUGGUCGAGUCGGCCUGCGCGGAAGAUGUAACGGGGCUAAACCAUGCACCGAAGCUGCGGCAGCGACGCUUAUGCGUUGUUGGGUAGGGGAGCGUUCUGUAAGCCUGUGAAGGUGUACUGUGAGGUAUGCUGGAGGUAUCAGAAGUGCGAAUGCUGACAUAAGUAACGAUAAAGCGGGUGAAAAGCCCGCUCGCCGGAAGACCAAGG